Molecule: ribosomal RNA, 216 nt
Filed under: uncultured bacterium
Lineage: Bacteria
Description: partial 16S ribosomal RNA
Rfam family: Bacterial small subunit ribosomal RNA
Source: RNAcentral
CGCCCGCCGCGCGCGGCGGGCCUACGGGAGGCAGCAGUGGGGAAUCUUCCGCAAUGGACGAAAGUCUGACGGAGCAACGCCGCGUGAGUGAAGAAGGUUUUCGGAUCGUAAAACUCUGUUGUUAAGGACGAAUGUAUAGAUUGUGAAUAAUGGCUUAUAAUGACGGUACUUAACGAGGAAGCCACGGCUAACUACGUGCCAGCAGCCGCGGUAAUA